This 75-nucleotide transfer RNA is filed under the name Magnetococcales bacterium. Its description in RNAcentral is "tRNA-Val". It matches the Rfam family "tRNA". From Rfam's summary of the family: Transfer RNA (tRNA) molecules are approximately 80 nucleotides in length. Their secondary structure includes four short double-helical elements and three loops (D, anti-codon, and T loops). RNAcentral also lists the same sequence under 5 other names. Lineage: Bacteria; Pseudomonadati; Pseudomonadota; Magnetococcia; Magnetococcales. The record is from RNAcentral.
GGGCGGCUAGCUCAGCGGGAGAGCACUGCCUUCACACGGCAGGGGCCACAGGUUCGAACCCUGUGCCGCCCACCA